This 85-nucleotide transfer RNA is filed under the name Vibrio parahaemolyticus. Its description in RNAcentral is "tRNA-Leu". It matches the Rfam family "tRNA". From Rfam's summary of the family: Transfer RNA (tRNA) molecules are approximately 80 nucleotides in length. Their secondary structure includes four short double-helical elements and three loops (D, anti-codon, and T loops). Further hydrogen bonds mediate the characteristic L-shaped molecular structure. tRNAs have two regions of fundamental functional importance: the anti-codon, which is responsible for specific mRNA codon recognition, and the 3' end, to which the tRNAs corresponding amino acid is attached (by aminoacyl-tRNA synthetases). tRNAs cope with the degeneracy of the genetic code in two manners: having more than one tRNA (with a specific anti-codon) for a particular amino acid; and 'wobble' base-pairing, i.e. permitting non-standard base-pairing at the 3rd anti-codon position. Lineage: Bacteria; Pseudomonadati; Pseudomonadota; Gammaproteobacteria; Vibrionales; Vibrionaceae. The record is from RNAcentral.
GCGGAAGUGGCGGAAUACGCACCCGCAAAGGAUUUAGGUUCUGGCGCCGCAAGGUGUGAGAGUUCAAGUCUCUCUUUCCGCACCA